Molecule: ribosomal RNA, 371 nt
Filed under: uncultured organism
Description: partial 16S ribosomal RNA
Rfam family: Bacterial small subunit ribosomal RNA
Source: RNAcentral
GUAGGUGGCAAGCGUUGUCCGGAAUUAUUGGGCGUAAAGCGCGCGCAGGUGGUUCUUUAAGUCUGAUGUGAAAGCCCCCGGCUCAACCGGGGAGGGUCAUUGGAAACUGGGGAACUUGAGUGCAGGAGAGGAAAGUGGAAUUCCACGUGUAGCGAUGAAAUGCGUAGAUAUGUGGAGGAACACCAGUGGCGAAGGCGACUUUCUGGCCUGUAACUGACACUGAGGCGCGAAAGCGUGGGGAGCAAACAGGAUUAGAUACCCUGGUAGUCCACGCCGUAAACGAUGAGUGCUAAGUGUUGGGGGGUUUCCGCCCCUCAGUGCUGCAGCUAACGCAUUAAGCACUCCGCCUGGGGAGUACGGUCGCAAGACUG